UGAGGUGUAACUCAGUGGUAGACUGCUUGUUUAGCACGCAUAAGACUCUGGGUUCAACUCCUAGCACUGCAA
This 72-nucleotide transfer RNA is filed under the name Cavia porcellus (domestic guinea pig). It matches the Rfam family "tRNA". Rfam says of the family: Transfer RNA (tRNA) molecules are approximately 80 nucleotides in length. Their secondary structure includes four short double-helical elements and three loops (D, anti-codon, and T loops). The record is from Rfam by way of RNAcentral. Lineage: Eukaryota; Metazoa; Chordata; Mammalia; Rodentia; Caviidae.